CGGAUAGAGCCAGCGAAGUCGCUCGUAUUCAGCCAAAAGUCUGGGGUUGCCUGUCGUCGUGUUUCUAAUCGAGCACGGCGGUUUGUCUUCUCUGGAUUGAGGUGCAUUUGCGGGCGUUUGCGCUGAGACUUGCGAGGCAGCUGCGGGACCGGCGUUUAGAGGCUUCCCAUUGGGUUGAACCUGGGCGCCGUUACAGCUGAUUGCCUUGCUCGUACUGGUCUGGCCUACGGACCCUGCUCGUGCUGUUGUCAACUGGCCAAGGCAUCGCAUGCGAUGUCUAGCCUGGGGGCUGCAGCGCGGGUUGGUGUCCCCGGAUCGCCUCUCGGUGUAGAAGCUGGUCAUCUCUCCGACCCGUCUUGAAACACGGACCAAGGAGUUUAGCGUAUGCGCGAGUCAUUGGGUGUUAAAACCCACAGGCGCAAUGAAAGUGAAGGCUCGGUCGCCGGGCUGACAUGCGAGUGCCGCGGCUUCGGCCCAGGCAUGCAGCAUGGUCCCAUUGCAAUCGUUUACGAUGCAGUGGAGACAGAGCGUAUGCGCUGAG
This 541-nucleotide ribosomal RNA is filed under the name Mesocriconema xenoplax. Its description in RNAcentral is "eukaryotic LSU rRNA". It matches the Rfam family "Eukaryotic large subunit ribosomal RNA", at positions 420 to 813 of the family's 3401-position model. Lineage: Eukaryota; Metazoa; Nematoda; Chromadorea; Rhabditida; Criconematidae. The record is from RNAcentral.